Molecule: long non-coding RNA, 230 nt
Filed under: Theobroma cacao (cacao)
Lineage: Eukaryota; Viridiplantae; Streptophyta; Magnoliopsida; Malvales; Malvaceae
Description: long non-coding RNA (TCAC_LNC003917)
Source: RNAcentral
CUGUGAAAAAUUUUAUAUAAUCAUAAAACUUGUUUUUAUUUAAAAAAAAACAGUCGUUCCUUGGCAUUGACUGAGUCUCACUUCACGUGGUGGUUAACGUGAAGUGCACUCAAAAAGCCCACCUCAGAAGAUACCCUACGCGCCUCUACGACCGAGGUGAGAAUAUAAAGGAGUUUACCGUGCCCUUCUAAUAGGCUGGUCCAUGGAACCUCGCCACUGCAGUAGCUAAU